This 451-nucleotide ribosomal RNA is filed under the name uncultured bacterium. RNAcentral's name for it is "bacterial SSU rRNA". It matches the Rfam family "Bacterial small subunit ribosomal RNA", at positions 354 to 796 of the family's 1533-position model. The record is from RNAcentral.
GUGGGGAAUCUUCCGCAAUGGGCGCAAGCCUGACGGAGCAACGCCGCGUGAGUGAAGAAGGCCUUCGGGUCGUAAAGCUCUGUCUUUAGGGAAGAAUAGCAGGUAUGUGAAUAAUGUGCCUGUGUGACGGUACCUGAGGAGGAAGCUCCGGCUAACUACGUGCCAGCAGCCGCGGUAAUACGUAGGGAGCGAGCGUUGUCCGGAAUUACUGGGCGUAAAGGGCGUGUAGGCGGGAAUUUAAGUAAGGUGUGAAAACUCCGGGCUUAACCUGGAGACUGCACUUUAAACUGGAUUUCUUGAGGGCAGGAGAGGAAAGUGGAAUUCCUAGUGUAGCGGUGAAAUGCGUAGAUAUUAGGAGGAACACCAGUGGCGAAGGCGACUUUCUGGACUGUACCUGACGCUGAGGCGCGAAAGCGUGGGGAGCGAACAGGAUUAGAAACCCUAGUAGUCC